AGCCUGAACGCUGGCGGCGUGGCUAAGACAUGCAAGUCGUACGGAGGUAGCAAUACCUCAGUGGCGAACGGGUGAGUAAUGAAUCGCUAACGUGCCCUGGACUUCGGGAUAGCUAUCCGAAAGGGUAGGUAAUACCGGGUGAUAUACCCUUUCCGCAUGGAAGGGGUCUCAAAGGUCCGCCGGUCUUCGGUGGAUGGUCUGGGGAGCGGGCGAGUUUCGUAGUCAGCUAGUUGGUGGGUAACGGCCCACCAAGGCGACGACGCGUAGCCGGACUGAGAGGUUGGCCGGCCACAUUGGGACUGAGACACUGCCCAGACUCCUACGGGGGCUGCAGUAACGAAUCUUCCGCAAUGCACGAAAGUGUGACGGAGCGACGCCGCGUGGAGGACGAAGUUCUCGGAAUGUAAACUCCUGUCAGGGAAAGAAAGUUCUGAUCUACCCCAGAGGAAGAGGCGGCUAACUCUGUGCCAGCAGCCGC
Molecule: ribosomal RNA, 478 nt
Filed under: uncultured bacterium
Lineage: Bacteria
Description: SSU rRNA
Rfam family: Bacterial small subunit ribosomal RNA
Source: RNAcentral